GCAUGAGAGGGAUGGAAAGACCAGUCUGGUUCAAGUGCAGAGUGCACACAGGGGAAAUGAAGGCAAGUGAGAAAAGGCUGCAAAGAUAAGUUGGGGCCCGUUUGAGGAAGGUUUGGAGUCUGAAGUAAACAUGAUCUACUCACUCUCAUGACCUCACCUUUAGGCCCCUUCCUGGUGUCUUCUCCCUUCUUAUACAGUGGAGAGCAAUUUUGGAGAGUACCAUUUGUUCCUCCUGCAGGCUUUUAUGUACGUCAAGAGCCCUCAGAAGAACCUCCAACAGGCAGCCAUGAAGUUUAUUGGUGGAAUGCUUCAGGAGUAUUUUUCUGAUCUCUGCUUUUAUUUGAACAAGUCAGAUGUGAAGCUACUGACAAAAAAUUUUGAAGAGCUUCGAAGGGACCAAGACCCCAACAUCAGAAAGUUCUACCUGAACUAUUCAGAAGACAUCUAUGAGCUGUCCAAAUAUGUGGCCUGAAGCUUCAGUAAUUUGCCUUUUGUGUUUUUUUUAAAAAAAAAAGUCAUUGGUUUUAUCAUUCAUUCAUCAGUAGCAAAAUAAAAGUUGAGUUUAAUUCA
This 570-nucleotide long non-coding RNA is filed under the name Phascolarctos cinereus (koala). Its description in RNAcentral is "lncRNA (ENSPCIG00000035029.1)". The record is from RNAcentral. Lineage: Eukaryota; Metazoa; Chordata; Mammalia; Diprotodontia; Phascolarctidae.